GCCGGCAUAGCUCAGUUGGCAGAGCGAUACAUUCGUAACGUAUAGGUCAGGGGUUCGAUUCCCUUUGCCGGCA
Molecule: transfer RNA, 73 nt
Filed under: Candidatus Sneabacter namystus
Lineage: Bacteria; Pseudomonadati; Pseudomonadota; Alphaproteobacteria; Rickettsiales; Rickettsiaceae
Rfam family: tRNA
About the family: Transfer RNA (tRNA) molecules are approximately 80 nucleotides in length. Their secondary structure includes four short double-helical elements and three loops (D, anti-codon, and T loops).
Source: Rfam by way of RNAcentral